Molecule: non-coding RNA, 71 nt
Organism: Mesocricetus auratus (golden hamster)
Lineage: Eukaryota; Metazoa; Chordata; Mammalia; Rodentia; Cricetidae
Source: Ensembl
UAGAUUGAAGCCAGUAGUUGGGUGUUUAGCUGUUAACUAAAAUUUUGUAGGUUUGAAUCCUGCCAAUCUAG